RNAcentral lists this unclassified non-coding RNA (179 nucleotides) under uncultured Trichoderma. RNAcentral describes it as "sequence contains ITS2". Lineage: Eukaryota; Fungi; Ascomycota; Sordariomycetes; Hypocreales; Hypocreaceae. The record is from RNAcentral.
CAACCCUCGAGCCCCCCCGGGGGGUCGGCGUUGGGGACUUCGGGAGCCCCUGAGACGGGAUCCCGGCCCCGAAAUACAGUGGCGGUCUCGCCGCGGCCUCCCCCUGCGCAGUAGUUUUGCACAGCUCGCACCGGGAGCGCGGCGCGCCCACGCCCGUAAAACACCCAACUUCUGAAAUG